AUAAUACAUAUUAUAUAAUACAAGAUUUAACACGAGAAACAUGUUUUCGACGUAAGAUGAAUAGUGCUUUCACCUUGCUACUAUAUUUUAAAGACAUGUUUAUCAUACUAAUCAAAUAAUUAACUACCUAAACUUGUUACCGCCGAAACUCAUUUUUUAUUGUUGCAUAUAAAUUGUUUUAUCUUGAUAUUUUUCUUGUUAACGUGUAUAUGUGACGAAGGGUAUAUUUGGCAUUAGUGUGAAUCAGAUGAAAGAGAACUAAAUAACAAAACUUCAUGGUCAGAUUCUUUAUUUUUCAUUCUUCUGAGCAUAUAUAUUAAAUUCACCCUAUAGUUUACGCAUACUACCUUAGAUAAGAGAACUACGAAUACUUAAUUAAACACAUUUCUAGUCUAGUUAAAUGUAUGUUUUGAUUGGCAAUAUUAAUA
Molecule: small RNA, 428 nt
Filed under: Arabidopsis thaliana (thale cress)
Lineage: Eukaryota; Viridiplantae; Streptophyta; Magnoliopsida; Brassicales; Brassicaceae
Description: ATSL232440
Source: RNAcentral